Triticum aestivum (bread wheat) is the source of this 2587-nucleotide long non-coding RNA. RefSeq lists it as uncharacterized. The record is from RefSeq and is a predicted model, not a curated record. The transcript is spliced from 3 exons. NCBI's taxonomy places the organism in Eukaryota, Viridiplantae, Streptophyta, Magnoliopsida, Poales, Poaceae.
UCAUUACUCAAACAUACAUCUUAUAUCAAUACAAACCCUAGUUCGUCCCUACUUUCCUCUUUUCUCCUUCGUGAGAUCUGUGAUCCUUCUGUGGAAAUCCGCCUCGAUCUCCUCUGGGGUGUGACAGCUCUGCCUCACCUUCCUCCCCGCUCCACAGCCGAGCUCCCGUUCCCUUCAUCCAGCGCCUCCCCUUUCCCCCCGUCUCCUCUCCGCCCGCGUCCCGCCCGAAACCCACGCGCAAUCAUCUUCCACAUCCGUGUGCUCCGCUGUGGUGCUGCCGACGGUAGUCUGCGCCGUGGCUAUACUCCCCACGCGUCGCCUGCCCCGACGGCCCGAGGGUCCUCACGUGUCACGCCGCCUCGGCUGGAGUGUGCCAAGAGAUGAUGGUCAACCUUUGGUUGCACGGCGCGGUGGCCCGCCAUAGGACUCAACGGUAAUGUCGCCGGCGCUCUGCACCUUCCGCCGGUGUCUCCUGUACGUGCCUACAUCACUCCCUGUCCCUUGUCCCCGCUACAGCCGGUGGACCUCCACAUGUCGGACGAGAACGAGGGCACUGACGACCAUGGUCAGUCCCAUGACACCAUGCCUCUCCCACCUCUUUCGGUGGCUUUCUGCUGCCCCUGCACUGGGAGCUCAACGUGGAGGGACUCGCCAUGGAUCGAGCAUCGUUAUGGAGUCUGGACGCGGCUGCCCACUGCCGUGCAAGUUGACUGUUCCAACGCCCACCAAGUGUCUGACGUAAUGUUUGGACGGCUGUAGGUAAAAGAAAAUCAAUUCUAUCCAGAAACUAUGUUGCUAUACUCCUAAUUUUGUGUUCUUCCAAGAGAUUUGACUUCACCAUUAAUAGAGCGAACGGACUUUCCUCAACAAUGCACCAUAUGUUGUUUCCAUAUUCAAUUUUCUCUUUAUUAACUUAGUUAUUCUCUUAUUACCAUGUUUAUGAUUUCCACUGCAAAGUUUGAUGACAUGUUUCCUCUUAUAGUGCUGAUGAUAAACCAUCAAAGGUUAUAUGCGUGUUCCAUCCCAAGCACAAUUCUUUUUCUUUACAUGUUCCUUUUGUGAUAUGUCUGCUUAUGCAAUGAGGCUCAGCUUGCUACUGGUGGAUUGCAGCUUGGAAAUAUGUUGAAAGAGAGCUUUACUGUCAGGAAGCCCUCCAUAGGAAAUAGGAUGCAGUGUAAAAUGGACUGUGCCUUAACCCUUGUUUGGCAUGAACUUCAUGGAUGAGGCAAUUGAGCUCUACACAACAAGCAUAUUUAAUACAUCAAGGUUGUUAGGCACAAUUGUUCAUGUAGAACCAUCUGCUAAACUUACUAUGACUUCCUUUCUAGGGUGCUCCAUGGAAUCUUCGAACAGAUCAAUGGAUAAAGAAAAAAAGAGAAGUCAACACAGGGCUCUGUUAGGCCUGCUGCUUCCGGUCGUCCCCCCCCCCCCCCCCCCCAAGAGUGUCGGGAGAAGCGGCUGCUACAGAACGCAACGCACGCUAUAUGCUCAUGGGUCUUCAGGUCAGGGAUGGGAGGCUCUUCUACAAGCUCAUGAUCGACAUCGAGGAGCUGCAUAUCCUUAUUUAUAGAGAUAAUUAUAAGUUUACGAGAAAUUUAGUGUGCUCUACAUCUAAUUUCAGAGGAAGUACAUGCACUGUAGCAGCAUGCAAGUGGGUUCAUGCCAUUGUACAUAGCAAGUUCCAGCUGCUGUAUAUCCUUACUUUCAGAGACAAUUUGUAGUUUCUGAGAAAUAUAUAUUUCAUAGCACGAGCACGUGACUAUGAGAGAUUAUUAGAACAGUAGUUCUACCUACUAUCACAUGUAUUUUUCCGUUGAUUGUACGAGUUUACAUGUACAUCUCUGAAUAAAGAAGAACCUUAUUACUGAAGUUAUAGAAACUGAGGUGGUGUUGCUCUAUAUAUACAGGCUAUUAUUUGCAUGCUUUUUCUGAAUAAGUGCAGUUUAAAAUGUGUUGAAAUCUAAGAGCAGACAGUUGCAUGUUCGACUUCCGUUGUGCAGUACCAUUUCUUGCAAAAUACUUUCAAUUAGAAUAGUUGUCGUGCAAUAUUUGCCUAGCUCUAAUACCAACCAUUCCUCACAAAAUACAUACAUCUUUUUUAGUGUCUGAAUUUUAUUAUCUGUUGGCGAUCAGUUUUUCCUACUGCAGUUCUUGGAUGUGCUAUCCUUCCUUCUCACUCUCAGGUUGUAGCAGUAAAUGGAUGGCAAGCAUCACGAAGCAGCUCAGCUCCAUCGCCUCCAGUGGCAGCAAGGUCUGUAUGCUCAGCCCAACCCUGAUGCUCUCUGUGCAUUUUAUUUAUACACCAAAAUAUACUGAAUGGAGGACAAGUUCUACUUUUUGUUAAUGGAGCUAGCUUGAUUGAUUUUUUUUCAGCAUUAGCUUGAUUGAUUUAAUCCCCGUGGACGUGCUACUUUUUGUUCAUGCCAACGUGUAUUUGUGUUAAUGUCUACAAGGGAGCAAGUGUACUAGAAGGAUGGUUGGACGGAGAGUAAUCUGCUACAAUGUUUUACAUCUUUUAUGGUUAUUUCUUGAAUCUGUGAUAUAAUAUAUAAUGCGUUCUGUAGAAAUCAAAAUGAUGUUCAUUGCA